UACGUAGGCAGCGAGCGUUGUUCGGAGUUACUGGGCGUAAAGGGUGUGUAGGCGGUUGUUUAAGUUUGGUGGGAAAUCUCCCGGCUCAACUGGGAGGGUGCGCCGAAUACUGAAUAACUAGAGUGCGGGAGAGGAAAGUGGAAUUCCUGGUGUAGCGGUGAAAUGCGUAGAUAUCAGGAGGAACACCGGUGGUGUAGACGGCUUUCUGGACCGUAACUGACGCUGAGACACGAAAGCGUGGGUAGCAAACAGG
This 253-nucleotide ribosomal RNA is filed under the name uncultured bacterium. RNAcentral describes it as "partial 16S ribosomal RNA". It matches the Rfam family "Bacterial small subunit ribosomal RNA", at positions 524 to 776 of the family's 1533-position model. The record is from RNAcentral.